AAUAGGUACGAGUGCAUGCUGUCACAGAAAUAUUCUGUGUAUAUUUACCACACACGACUGGUUCUAAGGGUGACUCUUUGAUGUGACUUCUGCAACAGUGCAGCUCAUUGACAUUCUGGGAGUGGUUGCUGUGCUUGUGGCUGGACAUCAGUGUUUCAUCGCAUCAUCAUAACAUCACUCGUUUACUAACUCUAUGUCAUCUGAGAGACCUGUGCUAAAGUGAAGGGUAAGGAAAGGUAUGAGAUGUUGAAAAUGAUCAACGAAAGUUUGGAAAUUAACGACAUGGUAUAUAAGGACAAAUAUCUUCAACUACUAUCUCCCAAGGGCAAGAAGAGAAAGAACGAUGAUAGAGUUUAGAGUUGGGAAAGAUGGAAGGCUGUGGUAAGUCCUCAACCCAGCAAAAGUCCAGGGGACGCCAGGGGUCGAAUUUCCUUAGGAGUUCUCGUCUGGCCAUCUUGGUGAAGAUCUUUGUUAAUUUUAAGGUAGCUGGGGUUAGAGAGGUAUCUACAGUACUAUCUAUCUGAAAUUUUGCUAUUGAUUUUCUAUAUUUUCAUGUAUGCAUCAUGUAUUUUUCUUUUGAAUUACUCUGUAUUUUUGGUUUUGAUUUAAGGAAAAGGUUGUGGCGAGUCUUUUGAUAAGACUCGAGUGGGGGAUUGGUGUGUGGAGAUUCUAAGAAAUCCACAUGGUGAUAGAGAUUCUGAGAAGAAGUUCACGUAUUUAAAUUAAACCCAAGUGUUGUUAAGAGAUUCUGAGAAGUCACAUACUCAAAAUUUGUUCUAUUCAUAAUGAUAAGUUUCAUUUCAAAAGUUAAAAAUUAAUAUUUCAU
Molecule: long non-coding RNA, 826 nt
Organism: Cyprinus carpio carpio
Lineage: Eukaryota; Metazoa; Chordata; Actinopteri; Cypriniformes; Cyprinidae
Source: Ensembl